UACGUAGGGUGCGAGCGUUGUCCGGAAUUAUUGGGCGUAAAGAGCUCGUAGGCGGUUUGUUGCGUCGGCUGUGAAAUCCCGAGGCUCAACUUCGGGUCUGCAGUCGAUACGAGCAAACUAGAGUGUUGCAGGGGAGACUGGAAUUCCUGGUGUAGCGGUGAAAUGCGCAGAUAUCAGGAGGAACACCGGUGGCGAAGGCGGGUCUCUGGGCAACAACUGACGCUGAGGAGCGAAAGCGUGGGGAGCGAACAGG
RNAcentral lists this ribosomal RNA (253 nucleotides) under uncultured bacterium. RNAcentral's name for it is "partial 16S ribosomal RNA". It matches the Rfam family "Bacterial small subunit ribosomal RNA", at positions 524 to 776 of the family's 1533-position model. The record is from RNAcentral.